GGGUGAGUAAUGCCUAGGAAUCUGCCUGGUAGUGGGGGAUAACGUCCGGAAACGGACGCUAAUACCGCAUACGUCCUACGGGAGAAAGCAGGGGACCUUCGGGCCUUGCGCUAUCAGAUGAGCCUAGGUCGGAUUAGCUAGUUGGUGGGGUAAUGGCUCACCAAGGCGACGAUCCGUAACUGGUCUGAGAGGAUGAUCAGUCACACUGGAACUGAGACACGGUCCAGACUCCUACGGGAGGCAGCAGUGGGGAAUAUUGGACAAUGGGCGAAAGCCUGAUCCAGCCAUGCCGCGUGUGUGAAGAAGGUCUUCGGAUUGUAAAGCACUUUAAGUUGGGAGGAAGGGCAGUAAAUUAAUACUUUGCUGUUUUGACGUUACCGACAGAAUAAGCACCGGCUAACUCUGUGCCAGCAGCCGCGGUAAUACAGAGGGUGCAAGCGUUAAUCGGAAUUACUGGGCGUAAAGCGCGCGUAGGUGGUUCGUUAAGUUGGAUGUGAAAUCCCCGGGCUCAACCUGGGAACUGCAUUCAAAACUGACGAGCUAGAGUAUGGUAGAGGGUGGUGGAAUUUCCUGUGUAGCGGUGAAAUGCGUAGAUAUAGGAAGGAACACCAGUGGGCGAAGGCGACCACCUGGGACUGAUACUGACACUGAGGUGCGGAAAGCGUG
Molecule: ribosomal RNA, 666 nt
Filed under: uncultured bacterium
Lineage: Bacteria
Description: bacterial SSU rRNA
Rfam family: Bacterial small subunit ribosomal RNA
Source: RNAcentral